This is a long non-coding RNA of Equus caballus (horse), 1576 nucleotides long. NCBI's taxonomy places the organism in Eukaryota, Metazoa, Chordata, Mammalia, Perissodactyla, Equidae. The record is from Ensembl.
AGCCCAGGUGCCGAUCUUUAAAAACAAAAAAAAAAGGAAGAUUGGCAACAGUUGUUAGCCCAGGUGCCAAUCUUUAAAAAGAAAAUGCAGCAAAUAAAUUUCACAUAAGGUACUAGCUUGUGAAAUUUACCUAUUUUUUCAUUCCUGUCAACAUAAAACCAAAACAUUGCUUUUGUUAAGAAACUCAUUUACCAUUGAGAAAGUGCUUUUUUCUGAACUCAUAAGAAAGGGUCCUCCAACAGAUUUUAUUAUUGCCAUGAAGAAUCUGGAAAUAGCAUAAGCCAAAAUAUGUUGAAACAUCUGUACUACUUUCCAACAGUUGUAGGGUAAACUUCUCACAAUGAAUUAUUUGUUUUAACAUUUCUUCAAUUCUUUAACAACAAGUUCUAUGCAUCUUCCAAAAAUGUUUAAUGACCAAGGAGUCUAUUUUAAUGUGUCACUAUAUAGUUUUCAGAUAUUUCUUCAGCUAUUUUCACUAUAGCAUGUAGAGCAAGUGUUUGACCAAUGGGCUAUGGACUUUCACUUUCAAAAUUAAGUAGUAAAUUCAAAAUUAUCAAAAAUUUAAUCAAAUUUUGUAAAGGGCUGGAUUGAGUAUAUUAUGACUUUAAGUAGCUGAAAGAAGUUUCUAAACAUUUUGUUCAUUGCAAUGGCUGCACACUCUCAUUAGCUACGUCAAGAUCCAAUAUUCACUCAAGGAGAGAGUCAUCAUUAAUGAUAGUGGAUGAAAGACCAUGCUUCAAAUAGUCUUCUUAAUUUUUCCAGUCUUUUGGCCAAUGUUGUGAUUGAUGUAAUUAGCCCGCCAUUCUUUUUAUCCUGUAAUUAGCUGAAAAGAGGCAGCACUAGGAGUUGCAGAAAUAGCACAUCAGCAUUCUGCUGGUCCCCUGGGCUUGUGUCAUUAAUAUUAUCUCCAGUUUGCAGUUUCUUCUCAGUAAUCAUUUAAAUCACUUGUCUAUUUUGUGAGGAUUAGUUAAAUUAAAACGAGAUAUCAUAGGCUGCAGAUCCAAUUAACAGGGCACAUAAACACAAAUAGGCUAAACGCUUGUAGGAGGCAUACAAAUUUCCAUUUCUGGAAGAUUCUCCUUGCACUGAAGGGUUCUUUUGAAUAAGGAAUUCUCCCCUGUGCUUCGCCAUGGGAGUGUCCAACGUCAGAGCUCUAAGAGCUUCUAGAAAGCAUCUUGUCAGCCUCCACAUUUGACAGGUGGACCCUAAAUCCAAUGACACUGUCCUUGUAAGACACAAAUAAGAAGACACAGAACGCAGAGGAGAAGGCCAGGUGAAGAGGGAGGCAGAGAUCAGCAUGACGCUGUUCACAAACCAAGGAAUGCCGAGGAUUGCAGAAGCCACCAGAAGCUCAGGAAGAGGCAAGGAAGGGUUCUCCCCUAGAGCCUUUGGAGUAAGUACUGUUUGUUUUCACCUAAUCCAGUGAUUUCCAAACUCAAGCUCUGCAGAGCCCCCCAUGGCCCCCACGAUACAAGAAGUAUGGUACCUACUUUGUACAAGUUACUUCUAAGACUUCUUGCAAUGAAACUAUUCUGCAGCUUAAAAAAACUAAAUGAAAAAUCGAAUCAACCAACCC